Molecule: long non-coding RNA, 416 nt
Organism: Oreochromis niloticus (Nile tilapia)
Lineage: Eukaryota; Metazoa; Chordata; Actinopteri; Cichliformes; Cichlidae
Exons: 3
Source: RefSeq, a predicted model, not a curated record
AUCACCCUCUUCUACCAACAUCUGCAAAUUUAUGGUACAUGGAGGAUGCGUCCUGCUACUGAGAGUAACCGCAGACUUUUGGAGUUUGACAGUCAAUAAAAGAAGCUACUUUCUGCUCCCUUACUGACAAGGGUCACCACAGCAGGCAGCACAGCAUAUUUGAUUUUUUUUGCCAGAUGCUCUUCCGGACUCCCCCACCCAGAGGAAGGGAUAUGCUGGACUGGAGACUGAAUACAGUGGAGCAGUCUCAAAACUAUUUGAUUGUUCACAGUUCUGCAUCCACACACAAAAAACCAGGCUAAUACAGAGUUAGUCCUUAAUCCUGUGACAGACUGACGACAGGUCCAGGAUGUACCCUGCCUCUUGCCCUGUGGUAGCUGGGAUAAGUUCCGGACUCCCCGCGAUCCUGAGUAGGA